Molecule: long non-coding RNA, 733 nt
Organism: Bufo bufo (common toad)
Lineage: Eukaryota; Metazoa; Chordata; Amphibia; Anura; Bufonidae
Exons: 4
Source: RefSeq, a predicted model, not a curated record
AUGUAACACGCUCCAGUCUCCUGCAGGCAACCAGCACUCACUCAGCAUGAAAACCGUGCGGGCUCUGCUCAUCCUCGGGAUCCUUCUGUGUCACAUUGUCUGUGUGCAAGGUGUCGGGCGGUCACUACAGGACUGCUGUGUGCAUACAAGUGCCAAACGUAUCCCAUUUGGCGCCAUUAUCGGAUAUGAGAUACAAUCAAAGGAUAAAGGAUGCCCCAUAGAAGCUGUGGUAUUUCAGACAAAUUCUAACCCAACCAGGAAUUUAUGUGCCCCACAAGACAUACCAUGGGUUAAAAAGUGGAUUAAAAAACUGGACAAAUGUAAAAAAGAAAUGGAGAAGAAUGGGAAUAAACCAAAGAAAUGUACAAAACGUCAGCUGGAUUGAGUCAAGAUCUCGGCGCCUCCUUAUGUGUUUGCCAUGAAUGUCCAAGACAUGAAACAGCAGAAAGAUUUGCCUUCCACGUCGCUUAUAUUAUCAAUGCAGAGAUGAAAAUUUUGGAACAAUGGAUCAUGAAGAGACAAUGAGAUGUUAUGAAGAGUUCUUCUUUCCCUUUUUCUCACUUAUAGUUAUGUGUAGAGCGUAUUCUUUACAGAACAUAAUUAUCCUGUACAAUUAACUCAUGUAGCGUAAACCUGUGAUGGAAGAGGGAGGGUCUGCUAUCUGUAAAAUACCUGGUGUGAUACUAUAUGUACGAAGAGAAUUACAUUUUUAGAUAUCAGGACUUUUAUACAU